GAGCCUGCGGGGUAAUAUAAUACCUCAGCGCUGCUAAGGGAGGGGAUCUCUCCAAGGAUCCUAUCCCGCCAGGCAAGGAGUGGAUACGGCCUGGUGUCAGAGCUGCUGGGAGACAGACUCAUCACACCAUGGCAGCCACUGCUCCAUGCACGUUAGAGGGAAGCAUGGUCCGGGAAGUAGUGAGGGCCAGCCACAACAGCCAUCUUAGCAAGGGGGUGGACACCCCCAGGAACAUUACUGAAUGUACAGCCUGUGCCCAGCGUGGAAACAUGAUGAUGGUGGUGGAAGCCAUUCCUUGCCAGGUUGCCAGCUCUCUGACUGAAAGAGGAAAACAAGCUUUCCAGUUUUUUUCCACUCCUAAGAAACCAACUGAACCUGUUGAAUAAACUGAAAUAAAGAAACUAUUCUCUGCACCCACAGAAGAGACUACUGCUGUCAAAAGUUUGCCUCUCGCCAUGUUACUUGGCCUGAUUCCCUCCUCUCGGCCAAGCAGCAGCAAGGG
Emys orbicularis (European pond turtle) is the source of this 502-nucleotide long non-coding RNA. RefSeq lists it as uncharacterized. The transcript is spliced from 3 exons. The record is from RefSeq and is a predicted model, not a curated record. NCBI's taxonomy places the organism in Eukaryota, Metazoa, Chordata, Testudines, Emydidae.